CUCGCACCUGCCCUGGCUGAAGACCUGGGGCUGCGUGUCCUCGUGGCCUUGCUGCGGUGGGACAGUCGCUUCUUUCUUAAGGCACAAGUGGAGCAGGGGUAGAGAGAAGGGGAUAGAGAAUCAGAAGUGGACUCUUGGCUGACAACAGCUAGCCCGAUGAGUUUGAACUCAUGAACCGUGAGGUCAUGACCUGAGCCGAAUUCAGACCCUCAACCAGCUGAACCACUGAGGUGCCUCUGCAAUCCUGUUCUGCUGGAUAAGUCCAUGUACUUCACUCCUUUGCUGGCUUCUGCCUCACAUUUGCCAGUGCAAAAUGGAACCAAUAUCCUUUGGACUCUGAAAAAGAAUUGCUGCUUCAGUACCCAACUGGCUGAAAGAAGAGAGAAGACAUUAAG
Puma concolor (puma) is the source of this 395-nucleotide long non-coding RNA. RefSeq lists it as uncharacterized. Lineage: Eukaryota; Metazoa; Chordata; Mammalia; Carnivora; Felidae. The record is from RefSeq and is a predicted model, not a curated record.